UGUCUUAGAAACCCGUCCCUGAGGCUUGGC
This 30-nucleotide non-coding RNA is filed under the name Homo sapiens (human). The record is from RNAcentral. Lineage: Eukaryota; Metazoa; Chordata; Mammalia; Primates; Hominidae.